AUGAGUUAAUAACAUAUGGAGGACUAGCCAAAAUUCGCAUUUGUGACAACAUAAUAGUUAGUACUUGAACUGAGGUACAAAACAGUUAUAAACACUAAAAAGACUUUAUCCUUACAUUUUCGUUCAUUUUAGACCACAUGAGGAGAGCAAAGAACUAUGUGAUAACGAAAUACCGUUGAACGAUGAGGAGGCCGACCGCUCAUAUUCAAGGAAUUUCACCCAGCCUCGUGCAGAGUACAUGGAUCUCAAAGAAAUAAGUAGAGAGCGCAAUACUAAAGAACAAAGCGCUCACCUAGUGGUUGAUUACGAGCCUCUGCGUCCAUCAACACGCUCCUGGGAAGUGCCAAGGGGUCACGUGUCUGUUGAAAAAAUCAUUGGUAAAGGUGCUUUCGGUCAGGUCGCCAAGGGAACAGCUGAGUAAGUUGGAGGGAGGCCUGGGACAACUGUAGUGGCUAUUAAAAUGUUAAAAAUUAACGCUGCAGAAUCAGACAAGAGAGAUUUGAUGACGGAACUUGACACAAUGAAGCAGCUAAAAACCACAUCCCCACGUCAUUAAAC
Molecule: long non-coding RNA, 558 nt
Organism: Stylophora pistillata
Lineage: Eukaryota; Metazoa; Cnidaria; Anthozoa; Scleractinia; Pocilloporidae
Source: RefSeq, a predicted model, not a curated record